ACCAUAGCUCCGACAAACCACAGCAUCGACACGACAUAGCCUCGACAAACCGUAGCACCGACACGUCAUAGCCUCGACAAACCAUAGCAUCGACAAGUAAAAUAAAAUUAGGCCUGCCACCACAGCCUCGACACGACAUAGCAUCGACAAACCAUAGCAUCGACAAGUCACGUGACACAUCUAUGGAAAUGUGGCCAACCUACUAAAUAAACAUGCGAUGAUAAUAAUAAUAAAUAAAGUUUUUAGUAGAAUGAUAAAUAGAAAACAAUCAAUCAAUUAUCAACAACUUUUAAAAUGAAAUUUUCCAUAUUUGUUAUUUAAUAAUACAUUUCACUUGUCACGUAUUUGACGUCCGAAUAAUUCUGAUUUUUUUGUGUUGUAGGGCUUGUGUCUUGACCGUUGAAAAACUCCUAACUCCAAAUCCAAAACUGUUCAAUUUUAUAGGUUACAUGUUGAUUGACGAUAAAUUAUCACAAUUUUGAAAGUUUUUAAAUUUCAAAAUAAAUUGACUUGAAGUUUUAUUCUUCUACAAAGUUUAUAUGUUUAUGUAAAUUGAAUAAGGUAGACCAUUUAACUACGAAAUGUUCUAUAAAGUUUAUUUUAUACUUCUUUGCCUAGUUACUAGACGAUGUCUGGAUUGUGUUUCAGAUUUCGAUUUAUACUGCAGCAAACAUAGAGCAAGGGAUCAAAUACAACUAUCCAAUCAAGGAGAAAUUUGACAGAACCAGAGUUUCAGCCGAGCGAUUUAUACAAGUGGAUUACUUCUAAUAACAAAGAGGCUAACCAUUCUACUGAUGAACGUGCCAACUCCACUGAUACCUCACCAUAUUAUUUGUUUUACAUAGAGCAAUCCAAUAUUUUUUAUACACUUAUGAAGUGUUUUAUCAAUAAACAUAAUAAAUAAUAAGUGUAUUUGAACAAACGAAAUUAACACUUGAAAAGUAAUGUUGUCUGUUUAUGUAAAGAGUUUGUCACAUUUUAUACUCUGAAAUUGUUUUAUAUAAUUUCAUUAUAAUUCUCAUAAUGUGUAAUAGAUUGCAUAAAAUUGUUAUUAAAAA
Molecule: long non-coding RNA, 1058 nt
Organism: Nilaparvata lugens (brown planthopper)
Lineage: Eukaryota; Metazoa; Arthropoda; Insecta; Hemiptera; Delphacidae
Exons: 3
Source: RefSeq, a predicted model, not a curated record